Molecule: long non-coding RNA, 865 nt
Filed under: Rattus norvegicus (Norway rat)
Lineage: Eukaryota; Metazoa; Chordata; Mammalia; Rodentia; Muridae
Description: long non-coding RNA NONRATT006610
Source: RNAcentral
ACAAUCACCUCACCACCACCAUUUUUGUCAUCAUUGCCACCUUAGGAAAAUGAGUAAUGUUUAUACAUAUAAUCUUUUGCAUUUUCUCAUCUCUCUUCUGUUUGGACCACAAGAAAAACCACCCCAGAAACUUUAAUAGUGCUUCAGAAGAUGACCCUGAGUCUUGGUUACCAUCAAAUUACAUUAUAUCUACGAAGUGGUGUCUGCAGAUAAGGCUUGCAAAGCACCAUCAGGACAAGGUGAAUUUACCCCCCUAUUCCUUCCUCAACAGAGAAGCCUUUCUCGGUGUUCCCACAGAAAUGAACCUUUCAUUCUAUUCAUCAAUAAUAAAAGAAGUGUCUGUUUCCCUGCUUCUCACAGUAAUGUAAACAAUGGUGAAACCACCCAUCUGUCUUGGGUUUGGGUGGAGAGCAAUUGAAUUGUCAGGUAUUUCAAUCCCCUGAAGAUCUGCUUCUCUGACUUAGCUUCUACACUUCUCUGAGUCUCAGACUUAGCACUCAGGCACCACAAGGGUCAUUGUGUGACAUGAGCUUCAAGGGUUCAGUGACAAAACUGAGAAGUUUUUCAAUAAUUCUAUCACAGAAACAUUUCCCAAAUCCUCUGGAAUUGAUUCUCAAUAAAAUCUAGGUCUCUAGCCCUCAAAAGUGUAAAGAGACUUUAAAAGGGAAAGUUUCCUUUCCUAUGGCCCACCAAUACCAUUUUAAAGGUAUUGUUUACCCAUUAACUGUGCUAGACUGAGAAAAUAUAGAGUAAGAUUAGGCCCAAUAUUGGCUGAAAAUUCAGGUAGGUUCUUUGAGAUACUAAGUUGUCAUGCAUUUGGACAUAGUAGUAAGAAAAGCUAGCCCAGAAAAGAAAACUAAUUUUU